RNAcentral lists this long non-coding RNA (319 nucleotides) under Lathyrus oleraceus (garden pea). RNAcentral describes it as "Pisum sativum (pea) long non-coding RNA (PSAT_LNC041390)". The record is from RNAcentral. Lineage: Eukaryota; Viridiplantae; Streptophyta; Magnoliopsida; Fabales; Fabaceae.
UGUGUGGUAUUUGUGUGAUAUGUGUGUGUUUGAUAUAUGUGUGCUGUUUGUUUGAUGUAUUUGUGUGUGUGUCUCAUUGUGUGUGAUAUGUGUCUGUGUCUCUGUGUGUGUGUCUCAUUGUGUGUGAUCUGUGUCUGUGUCUCUGUGUGUGUGUCUCAUUGUGUGUGAUCUGUGUCUGUGUCUCUGUGUGUGUGAUGUGUUUGUGUGAUUGUGUAUGUUUGUAUGUGUGUGUGUGUUUUUGAGUGUGAUUUGUAUGUGUGUGUGUGUGUGUGUGUGUGUGAUGUGUAUGUGUGUGUGUGUGUGUUUGUGUGUGUGUGUG